Molecule: long non-coding RNA, 254 nt
Filed under: Citrus sinensis (sweet orange)
Lineage: Eukaryota; Viridiplantae; Streptophyta; Magnoliopsida; Sapindales; Rutaceae
Description: long non-coding RNA (CSIN_LNC000358)
Source: RNAcentral
CAAUGUGAUUAAAUGAUCGUAAAAAAUAAUAUAAAAAAGGGACAAAAAAGUAAAAAAAAAAAACAAAAGACAGACCAAUAAAUGACAGCCAAUUACGAUCCGCGUAUGCUAUAAUCCAUAGCUUUCACGUUCAGUUACAUAAGUUAAUCUGUCAGGGGAGCUUUUCCAUCUAGUGCUCGUACCACUCAUGGGGUUCCGCCACGUGUUGCCGGUGACAUUGGCUAUUGGGUGACGGCAGCUUAACGCAAAAAUUC